AGGUGUCCUUAAGCAUUCCAUACCAGUUUCAGAAUCACUGUCUGCCUGGAGCAGAGAGGACCACUGUGGACUUGUCACUUCUUCGUCAAUCAGUGUGUGUCUCAACUUUGGCUCAGGCUCUCACCUCAGCUUCUAUUGCUCCCACACGUGAGGUGAAGAAGAUGAAACAUUUUUGUGCCUAGCUAUUGACAGGCUGGAAGAUGGCCUUCAUAUGAGAUAAAACCAACCAAAGAAGAAUAAAGGAUCCAUUUAUUGGAGAAGACAGGCCCCCGAGAUAUGGGAAGAGGUGAAAUUCUCCAAAGAAAUCAAGAGAGAAUAGAGAGCUGUUAUAGGCAAACAAGACCUAUAGUCACAUCCCUCCUUUGGAUAGUUUACAACAAUAAAGAUUUCUACCAACAACUUUCAAUUUUAUCUUCUUUUGUGGAAUACCUUAUAACUUCCUUUAUGUGAACAAGUACAAGCAAUAAAUCUAAUAAAUUGCUCAUGCUACCUAAAACCUAUUUGGCACUUGAAGGGUUUAUGAAUUUCUGUGGAAGUUUUCUCCACCUUCCCUACCCUUUAAAGUUUUGGCUGAAAUGUAGGUAGAUGUUCAAGGGCAUAACUAAUGUCUUUUCUAAUCUCUUUUCCAAAGAAGAUAAAAAAGAAAGCAUAUGUUAAAUGUUUCCUUUUAAAAGUAUUUGAAAAAUGAUUUCUAAUCAAUAAUUUAAUGAAAUAAAUAAAGGUUAUAAUCUGAAGAUAAGUUUCCUCCAAUU
Molecule: long non-coding RNA, 752 nt
Organism: Lutra lutra (Eurasian river otter)
Lineage: Eukaryota; Metazoa; Chordata; Mammalia; Carnivora; Mustelidae
Exons: 4
Source: RefSeq, a predicted model, not a curated record